This 510-nucleotide ribosomal RNA is filed under the name uncultured bacterium. RNAcentral's name for it is "partial 16S ribosomal RNA". It matches the Rfam family "Bacterial small subunit ribosomal RNA", at positions 28 to 507 of the family's 1533-position model. The record is from RNAcentral.
GACGAACGCUGGCGGCGUGCUUAACACAUGCAAGUCGAACGAAGAGCGAUGGAAGCUUGCUUCUCUCAAUCUUAGUGGCGAACGGGUGAGUAACGCGUAAUCAACCUGCCCUUCAGAGGGGGACAACAGUUGGAAACGACUGCUAAUACCGCAUACGAUCUAACCUCGGCAUCGAGGAUGGAUGAAAGGUGGCCUCUAUUUAUAAGCUAUCACUGAAGGAGGGGAUUGCGUCUGAUUAGCUAGUUGGAGGGGUAACGGCCCACCAAGGCGAUGAUCAGUAGCCGGUCUGAGAGGAUGAACGGCCACAUUGGGACUGAGACACGGCCCAGACUCCUACGGGAGGCAGCAGUGGGGAAUCUUCCGCAAUGGACGAAAGUCUGACGGAGCAACGCCGCGUGAGUGAUGACGGCCCUCGGGUUGUAAAGCUCUGUUAAUCGGGACGAAAGGCCUUCUUGCGAAUAGUUAGAAGGAUUGACGGUACCGGAAUAGAAAGCCACGGCUAACUACGUG